UACGGGGGGGGCAAGCGUUGUUCGGAAUUACUGGGCGUAAAGGGCUCGUAGGCGGCCAACUAAGUCAGACGUGAAAUCCCUCGGCUUAACCGGGGAACUGCGUCUGAUACUGGAUGGCUUGAGAUUGGGAGAGGGAUGCGGAAUUCCAGGUGUAGCGGUGAAAUGCGUAGAUAUCUGGAGGAACACCGGUGGCGAAGGCGACAUCCUGGACCGAUAUUGACGCUGAUGCGCGAAAGCCAGGGGAGCAAACGGG
RNAcentral lists this ribosomal RNA (253 nucleotides) under uncultured bacterium. RNAcentral's name for it is "partial 16S ribosomal RNA". It matches the Rfam family "Bacterial small subunit ribosomal RNA", at positions 524 to 776 of the family's 1533-position model. The record is from RNAcentral.